AUUUGGAAGCACCGCAAUGCAUGUACCUUCGACGACGAGCAACCUUCUACUUCGCGGCUAGCUCAGCUCAUCUGCGACGAGGCAUACACAUGGGCCUAUGCUGGCGCCAGGGGCCUACAGGCCAUUAUCCCCGCGAGACAUCUGUAA
Molecule: ribosomal RNA, 147 nt
Filed under: Triticum aestivum (bread wheat)
Lineage: Eukaryota; Viridiplantae; Streptophyta; Magnoliopsida; Poales; Poaceae
Description: partial small subunit ribosomal RNA
Source: RNAcentral